This 400-nucleotide ribosomal RNA is filed under the name uncultured Alphaproteobacteria bacterium. Its description in RNAcentral is "bacterial SSU rRNA". It matches the Rfam family "Bacterial small subunit ribosomal RNA", at positions 29 to 456 of the family's 1533-position model. The record is from RNAcentral. Lineage: Bacteria; Pseudomonadati; Pseudomonadota; Alphaproteobacteria.
AACGAACGCUGGCGGCAGGCCUAACACAUGCAAGUCGAGCGCCCUGCUUGCAGGGAGCGGCGGACGGGUGAGUAACGCGUGGGAACGUGCCCUUCAGUUCAGAAUAGCCACUGGAAACGGUGAGUAAUACUGAAUACGCCCUUAGGGGGAAAGAUUUAUCGCUGAAGGAUCGGCCCGCGUUGGAUUAGCUUGUUGGUAGGGUAAUGGCCUACCAAGGCGACGAUCUAUAGCUGGUUUGAGAGGAUGAUCAGCCACACUGGGACUGAGACACGGCCCAGACUCCUACGGGAGGCAGCAGUGGGGAAUAUUGGACAAUGGGGGCAACCCUGAUCCAGCCAUGCCGCGUGAGUGAAGAAGGCCCUAGGGUUGUAAAGCUCUUUCGUCGGGAAGAAAAUGACUG